This 433-nucleotide ribosomal RNA is filed under the name Neonectria sp. nc_sqmc_25_5c. RNAcentral describes it as "eukaryotic LSU rRNA". The stretch from base 52 to 205 matches the Rfam family "5.8S ribosomal RNA". The record is from RNAcentral. Lineage: Eukaryota; Fungi; Ascomycota; Sordariomycetes; Hypocreales; Nectriaceae.
GACUCUUUUGAAUUUUUCAGUAUCUUCUGAGUAAAAAAAACAAUAAAUCAAAACUUUCAACAACGGAUCUCUUGGUUCUGGCAUCGAUGAAGAACGCAGCGAAAUGCGAUAAGUAAUGUGAAUUGCAGAAUUCAGUGAAUCAUCGAAUCUUUGAACGCACAUUGCGCCCGCCAGUAUUCUGGCGGGCAUGCCUGUUCGAGCGUCAUUUCAACCCUCAAGCUCUGCUUGGUGUUGGGGAUCGGCAAGGCGUCCUCCGGGUCGCGCCGUCCCCCAAAUAUAGUGGCGGUCUCGCUGUAGCUUCCUCUGCGUAGUAAUACACCUCGCUCUGGAGUCUCGGUGCGACCACGCCGUAAAACCCCCAACUUUUUUCUGGUUGACCUCGAAUCAGGUAGGACUACCCGCUGAACUUAAGCAUAUCAAUAAGCCGGAGGAA